RNAcentral lists this unclassified non-coding RNA (887 nucleotides) under Rhizobium sp. Its description in RNAcentral is "partial 16S-23S ribosomal RNA intergenic spacer". The stretch from base 767 to 887 matches the Rfam family "Bacterial large subunit ribosomal RNA", at positions 1 to 121 of the family's 2925-position model. The record is from RNAcentral. Lineage: Bacteria; Pseudomonadati; Pseudomonadota; Alphaproteobacteria; Hyphomicrobiales; Rhizobiaceae.
GGUCGGAGUUCAGUCUUCCCGGGCCCACCAUUCCCUAGAUGGAAUGAGGGUCGGGAAUGAAAUGACCUGACGCGGAAGUUUGCCGAAUCCCUGAACAGCGAUGUUCGGGGCGAUCGAGCUGAUGGGGCUGUAGCUCAGCUGGGAGAGCACCUGCUUUGCAAGCAGGGGGUCAGCGGUUCGAUCCCGCUCAGCUCCACCAAAUCGAUCGUUCUCGAAUGAUCCGAUUGGUGUUGAGACUGAAUGGUUUUGAUCGGCGAUUGUCUUUUGAAGAAAUACAAGUUUGCAUCGGCUUUUAGCCUGAUGCCUGUUCUGCAUAAAUCGUGAAGAGAAGAUUGAUCUGGAGGCUUCCAGGUGUUGGGUUCUGCCCAAUGUCCGAGCCCAGUUCCUGAGAAACCAUGGAUGGCCUAGCCGGCCGGAUAUGGUGGAGGGAUUGGAGGUAGGUAGGAAGCUUGUCGCUCUUGAUCGUCUGUUGUUCGGCACUUUCGGGUGUCGUCUGAUGGAUGAUCGGAUGACCGUUGCCUGACCGCGCGGUCCCGGAUUUAAUCUCGAGAAGCUGGUCUUAAGACCGGAUGCAAGUGAGCUGCUCGGCGUAGCUCCAAUAAAGCAAUCCGGUCGAACACGUCGAUGGCAUCAUGAAUAGACCUGGUUGUAAAAGGUAACCGGGUUUUGAUGAGCGAAUAGCGAAUGGCGAAUAGUUUGAAAAUUCUAUUCGCUAACAACUACUCACUAUUCGCUGUCAAUAUGGAUGAGCAUUGGCAAUGAGAACGAUUAAGUGUCGUAAGGGCAUUUGGUGGAUGCCUUGGCAUGCACAGGCGAUGAANGACGUGAUACGCUGCGAAAAGCCGUGGGGAGCUGCGAAUAAGCUUUGAUCCAUGGAUCUCCGAUGG